This is a long non-coding RNA of Lates calcarifer (barramundi perch), 669 nucleotides long. RefSeq lists it as uncharacterized. The record is from RefSeq and is a predicted model, not a curated record. NCBI's taxonomy places the organism in Eukaryota, Metazoa, Chordata, Actinopteri, Centropomidae. The transcript is spliced from 2 exons.
UGUACCACCAUGCUGAAGUGUAUGGAAACAAGGCUGUGCGCGCCACGGCGCGGGGAACGUGCUGGCAGAGAACCAGAGUUGAACAGGCCCGGGCCAGGGGAGGUGACUGGAAUGCAGGUGGGCUCCAAAAUAAACAGUGCGGUCACGGCGAGACCACGUGCACCUGUGCGUGGAUGGAUGUGUGGAGUCCGUGCUUGUUGUCAUGAGGCGGUGCCGGCUGUCACGUUGAUCUGCUCAUGGCCCCGGGAGCCUGCUGAGCGCACAGGGCACAGCCAGCCCAUCCAGCUCAUCCAGCACACGGCGGCUGCACCUGUCUGCUGCAGGCUAUACGAACACGCAUUACAACAGUAGCUACACCUUCUUUUUGAUUUUGUUUAAUAAAUGUUCUUACUGCAAAUGAAACAGUGUGUAAAGACAGGUAUGUUGACAUUUGCAUUGCAGUUAAUUGAUAAUUUCCCUAUUAGAAACUAACUCUAAUAACCCUAGGUAAUGUUAGAGCUAAAACAAGAGCACAAAGACUUGGAGUCCCACAUACUCAUUUAUCUCUACAAGAGACAGAUGCUGGUGUAAAAAAAUCAACAAGGUUUGAUGAACACCCAACAAACUCAAUUUACACGGACAUUUCCAUUCUCAGUAAGACCAUUACAUAUCUGUUACAGGUUAAUGACC